This 2478-nucleotide long non-coding RNA is filed under the name Gallus gallus (chicken). RNAcentral's name for it is "long non-coding RNA NONGGAT005450". The record is from RNAcentral. Lineage: Eukaryota; Metazoa; Chordata; Aves; Galliformes; Phasianidae.
GGUGCAGACGUGAGAGAGCGCGAGGAGUCAAUGGGGGACACGGGCUGGGAACUGUGGUGCGCUUAGGGGAUUCUCGCCGUGCCUGUACGAGGCUUGUGGUCAACGUCCGCGAUUGCUGGCGUUGUAAUGCGUUCGUGGGGAAGUGGAGUGUUCGUGGGGGUUGAGGUGGUGUUGUAGUAUUAGGGUACAGGGAGGGGGGCUCGACGUGGAGCUGUUUUUUUUCGGGCUUUGGUCGUGUGGGAGAGUGUGGAGCAAAAUGAAGUGGAGCGGCUGAGGGAAGCAGGCCGGGGGCUGUGCGCGGGAGGUUCCUCGCUCUGAGCAGUUAGAACACAACGAAGGAACUUUUACACGUUAGGGUGCGUGUGUGGUACGGUGAGGAGGACCAAAGACCAUAGAAACUGGCGGACUCGCAGCGCAGAGCGGUGGGAGGAAGGCGAUGGGUUUUCCGCGUUUCAGCGCGCAUGCGUGUCACUGCCUGGAGGACCAAACACCAUAGAAAUUGGCGGGCUUGCGGCGCAGAGCGUUCAGAACAGGGAGGUGCGGUGCUUUAUUGGGGGCGGCAGAGCGGGGAAACGGUGCCCUUUCUCUGGGGAUACUCAGAACCUGCGUGGAUGCAGUCCUGUGCAGCGUGUUCCCACAGGUUAUAGCAGAUCCAUCAAGUGAUUACGCAGCCUUUGCCCAGACAGACCUUUUUUCCCCUGAAGUGACCACGUAUUACAAGUUAAUUACAGGCAGUAUUCUCAUGACUAAUUAUUUACCAUCAAAAGACAGGCUUUUUUGAGACCGAACCCCUACUGUCUCAAAGUUAAUAGGAGAAACCUCUUUAAUUAGUCGUUAUUAUCUACGUGGACCGUAUCUGCAUAUAAUUAGACAUCUCAGCACAUCAGUAUAGGCUGUGGGAACAGCCAGCUGUGUUAUUUUGUUAUUAAAAUCUGCUUCUGAGGGAUGUCUGCAGGGAGUUCCCAUAGGACAGGUCCCUUGUGGGUCUUUCUGCUGAGCCUGAGCUAGCAGGGACAGGGAGUUUAGCAAUUAAAUAUAUUUCCCUAUUGGGUCUUCUUGAUGUGAUCCCAUAUAGGAUAUCAGUGUGAUGGGUUAUAAUGCUAAACAUGACACGGUCCUUUUCCCUUCUCUUUUGGCACUGUUCAUAAAGCACAACAGCAUCACAGAGCACCACUGCUGAUUCAGUGUGGCCUUGAUGUGCACCGGCCUUUCCUGUGUGGUGUGAAGAAGAAGCCUGCAAUACCUCAGCUUCCAAGAGAUAAGGCCUCACAUCUUGCACACAGCAUCCAAAUAACCUUUUCAAAAGCAUUACUGGUGGGACACACAUGCAUUUCAGGGCCUAUGGAGAAGAAGCUUGUCAGUUUAUCCAGUCUUUUUCAAUAGGCUCCCAGCUCAGUCUGACAGCAAGCAGUAUUCCCAGUCUUACGGCAAUUAGAGAAGAGAAAUAUCCUUUGUGUUAGCGUUUUUCAUUCUGCUGGCCAGAAAGUUUGUUCCAAGUGUUGAAGACAAAAACAAAGCCUUCAUUGAGGCUAAUGGGGAGAGUGCCUCAUUCAUGACAGAAGGCAAAAAGGAAUUGGGAAGAUAAUAUGACAUUUUGCAGGCAUGCGAGUCUCAUUGAAUAGCAGUGUAAGAGCACUUUUCUGAGCACUAUCCAGCACUAUCCAUAGGAACUGCUCUGCAGUCCGUACACAAAUGUCUGUGCCAAUCUGAAGCAGCUAUUCUGUCAGUAAUUACAAAGUAAACACACAGCUGUGACACAUCCAGAUACCACUGGCUGCAUCCAAGUGUCCAUCGUACAGAAGCACUCUUGAGGCACUCUCAGGCACAGAAGUUUUUUAGUUCCUAAAGGUCAGUGUUGAUAGCUUCGUUUCACUGUUCUGCACUGAGGACAUUUUCCAUGCAAAGCUCUGGUGUUGUCGGGUAGUUUGGUACAGAACAGUUCUCCCAGCUAUAGAAGUAAUGGUUCACUUCUUUCUGCUCCAAACCAGCUGUGACAUGGCCUUCAAACAACAGAAUCCACAUCAUAAAAUUAAUUAUGCUUGAUAUUGUGUAAGACAGAAUUCUCUAGAUCAUCACAGCUUUCGGUGUAGAAUGAGAGCUGUUUGUCAGUAGGCCACAUUUCUGCUUCUGAAUAUUUUCAGAGUUACAUCUGGAAUUAAUUACAAAAGGUGGUUCUGGCAUGAAAAAAAUAAAAAGGCUUUGUAAAUUAACUUGUGAUUCAGUGAGCCUGAGGCAGAGUAAUCAGGAUGAAUGUACCUCAGGUGGUGUCUUCAGCUCCUCCAUCUCUGCUGAUACAGGUACUUUUCAUAGGAGGUGUGGAAGAAAUGUGAGAAAGAGGUGUCUUAGAUGAGAGGAGACGACUGGACUAUGUGGAUCAAGGGAGAAGAUUCCCUGUCAGUAGGCUGCUUCCUUUCAUGAUGGAAUGCACUUGUUGUUUUGAGCACCAGCAAACAGGAAAUUAGAGAAAGUGAACUGGAC